UUGGAUAAUCAUUGUAUUUAAUCACAUGUUGAUACAUACUUAUUAAUUUCCAUUAUGUAUACGUUAACUUAAAAGUUGUCUAAGCUAUUUGAUCUGGCUAGACACAAACUUAAAAAUAUUGUUGAACAUGAUAGAACUUUAUUAUUAUCCGACCAAAUUAUUUUGGUUCGAAUUCCUGACUAAGUAUGAACAUCCCGAAUAUGGGGAAAUUUUUAUGCGCCUAAGGGGGAUAGAAUGAACGAUAAUAUCGUUCUUGCAUAUAGUAUUGAUCAAUACAGGGCACAUUGGGCAGAUCACCCUCAUGCCUGUAAGUUAUGACGGUUUGCAGAUGAAGUUCUGCUAAACCUUAGCGAAAAUUAAAAACAAUGUUCAUAGUCUGUCGACUAAUAUCCAGUUAUAGUCAGUACGUAGUUUCAAAAAUUUGAUAUAGAAUAAAUAUAUUGUUAUUAUUGGUUCAACUUACUUCACAACUAUUGAUUCGUUGUAGAAGUGUCUUUCAAAGAAAACAUGUAAUCCUUUCAGCUAAUAUUUAUUGUUGCUAUUACUUACUGGGCACUCAAAUGCUCAUCCUUGCUUAAUUUAAAUGAUUCCAGCUAAGUGUGAACAACCAGAAGGUUCGGCGAAGAACAAGGGA
Molecule: long non-coding RNA, 634 nt
Filed under: Panax ginseng (ginseng)
Lineage: Eukaryota; Viridiplantae; Streptophyta; Magnoliopsida; Apiales; Araliaceae
Description: long non-coding RNA (PGIN_LNC013039)
Source: RNAcentral